Non-coding RNA from Cricetulus griseus (Chinese hamster), 1197 nucleotides. NCBI's taxonomy places the organism in Eukaryota, Metazoa, Chordata, Mammalia, Rodentia, Cricetidae. The record is from RefSeq and is a predicted model, not a curated record.
UUUUAAUGUGAGCUAUCAUCCCCAGAGGCUCUGGAGGAAGUGACUCACUGGGGGUGGUCGUUGAGUGUUCUAAGCCUGGCUCCAUUCCUGGCCCUUUCUCUGCCUUCCUCCAAGAUGGAGGAAGGAAGUCCCGGCGGCUCCCCCACACCUCAAGCUUUGAGCUGACAGACCCUGCCUCGGUUAGGUAUCUCAUCACAACAACAAGUAAUAACACACUGGAUGUCAGUAGGCUUUGGGAAACUGUGUUUUCCUGAAAUUUUUGCUUGUGGAUAAAUGAAGCGGUUGAGCCUGAGAUCCGUGGAGGUGAGGAUACGGAUGACACUGCCGUGGUUACUGCUGAAACCGUAGUAAGAGCCCACCAUGGAUAUAAUCUACGAAGCUGAGAUAAGCUUCUGCAGGGGGCGGGAGGUGAGAAGACCAUACUGAAGAGCAGUGCACUCUGGGAAGAGGUCAUGUCUCCAGUUCUUUGCUUCAAAGGAUGCAGUGAUGAGUAAUUAUAAGUGCACAGGAGAUGGCAGCAAAAGAGAAGAAACGUGUUUGGCCGGGCCUGGUGCCUCCAUCUCUCCUCUGACACCGUCUCCUAGCCAAAGCUUCUAGCAGCUCUGCAGACCAUUCCAAAAGCCUCUAACUGUUUUCCCAGCACUUCUUUGGCAGCUAAAGCUCUCUUUCCGCACAGCAAGUAGGAAAGAAUCCGAACAACAUAGAUACAGCUGCAUCGAGGCCCAGUUCAUAGCUCGUGAGCUUAUACCACACACACUGUCAUCACCGUCAUCACUAGGGCAGAGCCCACGCCAUGCUCUGGUGGUCCUCAGGUACCUGGUCCUCACCUGCUUCUCAUGCUCUGCACCUGGCCACACUGGCUGCUGUUAGGAUCCUCCGGUGCUCCAAGCUUGUCCCAGGGUUGGUUCUCUCCGUUGGGAAAAGGCUCCCCCAAGAUCUUGCCAUGGAUGUCCCUUCUUUUGAGUUCCUUUCUCCAUCUCACUCCCACUUUUAGAAGAGGCCUUCCCUAACCCAGCCUUGAACUUGUGAUCCUGCCCUCUGGGCCUCCCGAGUUCCUGGGCUUACAGACAAGGGCCACCCAACACAUAGCUCUCAAGUCCCCAUUUUGUUUCCUUCCUCUUCCUGCCUCUUUCUGAGUUAUUUUCUCUAAUGUGCCCUGAGACUGUGUUCCUGAGAACAUGGCUUCCAUUGUCCAUU